UAUAAGCUUUUAAAUGGCAAAACUGCGAAUGGCUCAUUAAAACAGUUAUAGUUUAUUUGGUAGUUUUUUGCUACAUGGAUAACUGUAGUAAUUCUAGAGCUAAUACAUGCGUAAAAUCCUGACUUACGGAGGGGAUGUGCUUAUUAGAUACAAAGCCAGACAAGGUUUACCUUGCAUUCACGGUGAUUCAUAAUAAUUAAACUGAUCGCACAGCAUUGCUGGCGAUAUAUCAUUCAAGUUUCUGACCUAUCAGCUAUUGACGGUAGGGUAUUGGCCUACCGUUGCAAUGACGGGUAACGGAGAAUUAGGGUUCGAUUCCGGAGAGGGAGCCUGAGAAACGGCUACCACAUCUAAGGAUGGCAGCAGGCGCGUAAAUUACCCAAUCCUGACACAGGGAGGUAGUGACAAGAAAUAACAAUACAGGGCAUUUGUCUUGUAAUUGGAAUGAGUAAAGUUUAAAACGCUUUACGAGUAUCUAUUGGAGGGCAAGUCUGGUGCCAGCAGCCGCGGUAAUUCCAGCUCCAAUAGCGUAUAUUAAAUUUGUUGCGGUUAAAAAGCUCGUAGUUGGAUUUUAGUUAAUGUUGCCCGGUCCGUCUCUAUAGAUGUGCAUCUGGUGCGACUGAGACGCCUUCUGAACGUAGAUCAUUUCUUAAUUGAUUUGAUUGAAACUCAGGUUUUUACUUUGAGGAAAUUAGAGUGUUUCAAGCAGGCUUACGCCUUGAAUAUAUUAGCAUGGAAUAAUAUUAUAGGACUUUAGUUCUAUUUUGUUGGUUUAUAGAACAAAAGUGUUGAUU
RNAcentral lists this ribosomal RNA (794 nucleotides) under uncultured marine eukaryote. RNAcentral's name for it is "bacterial SSU rRNA". It matches the Rfam family "Eukaryotic small subunit ribosomal RNA", at positions 64 to 870 of the family's 1831-position model. The record is from RNAcentral.